This 521-nucleotide ribosomal RNA is filed under the name uncultured bacterium. RNAcentral's name for it is "bacterial SSU rRNA". It matches the Rfam family "Bacterial small subunit ribosomal RNA", at positions 25 to 518 of the family's 1533-position model. The record is from RNAcentral.
CAGGACGAACGCUGGCGGCGUGCCUAAUACAUGCAAGUCGAACGGCUUUUCUAUGGAAGCUUGCUUCCACUGAGAAGAUAGUGGCGAACGGGUGAGUAACACGUGGGUAACCUGCCCAUAAGAGGGGGGAUAACAUCCGGAAACGGGUGCUAAUACCGCAUAGUUUUCUUGAUCGCAUGAUCGGGAAAGGAAAGACGGCCUUUGUGCUGUCGCUUAUGGAUGGACCCGCGGCGUAUUAGUUAGUUGGUGAGGUAACGGCUCACCAAGACGAUGAUACGUAGCCGACCUGAGAGGGUGAUCGGCCACAUUGGGACUGAGACACGGCCCAAACUCCUACGGGAGGCAGCAGUAGGGAAUCUUCCGCAAUGGACGAAAGUCUGACGGAGCAACGCCGCGUGAGUGAAGAAAGGUUUUCGGAUCGUAAAACUCUGUUGUCAGAGAAGAACAAGUUGGAGAGUAACUGCUCCAGCCUUGACGGUAUCUGACCAGAAAGCCACGGCUAACUACGUGCCAGCCGCAGC